This 372-nucleotide ribosomal RNA is filed under the name uncultured bacterium. RNAcentral's name for it is "partial 16S ribosomal RNA". It matches the Rfam family "Bacterial small subunit ribosomal RNA", at positions 523 to 897 of the family's 1533-position model. The record is from RNAcentral.
AUACGGAGGAUCCGAGCGUUAUCCGGAUUUAUUGGGUUUAAAGGGUGCGCAGGCGGGAGAUUAAGUCGGCGGUGAAAUUUUGCAGCUCAACUGUAAAAGUGCCUUCGAUACUGGUUUCCUUGAGUGUGGAUGAAGUAGGCGGAAUUUGUGGUGUAGCGGUGAAAUGCUUAGAUAUCACGAGGAACUCCGAUUGCGCAGGCAGCUUACUAAACCACUACUGACGCUCAGGCACGAAGGCGUGGGGAUCAAACAGGAUUAGAUACCCUGGUAGUCCACGCAGUAAACGAUGAUUACUGGCUGUUUGCGAUACAAUGUAAGCGGCUGAGCGAAAGCGUUAAGUAAUCCACCUGGGGAGUACGUUCGCAAGAAUGA